GGCGAACGCUGGCGGCAGGCCUAACACAUGCAAGUCGAACGAACUCUUCGGAGUUAGUGGCGGACGGGUGAGUAACACGUGGGAACGUGCCUUUAGGUUCGGAAUAACUCAGGGAAACUUGUGCUAAUACCGAAUGUGCCCUUCGGGGGAAAGAUUUAUCGCCUUUAGAGCGGCCCGCGUCUGAUUAGCUAGUUGGUGAGGUAAAGGCUCACCAAGGCGACGAUCAGUAGCUGGUCUGAGAGGAUGAUCAGCCACAUUGGGACUGAGACACGGCCCAAACUCCUACGGGAGGCAGCAGCGGGGAAUCUUGCGCAAUGGGCGAAAGCCUGACGCAGCCAUGCCGCGUGAAUGAUGAAGGUCUUAGGAUUGUAAAAUUCUUUCACCGGGGACGAUAAUGACGGUACCCGGAGAAGAAGCCCCGGCUAACUUCGUG
Molecule: ribosomal RNA, 433 nt
Filed under: uncultured bacterium
Lineage: Bacteria
Description: partial 16S ribosomal RNA
Rfam family: Bacterial small subunit ribosomal RNA
Source: RNAcentral